Cebus imitator (Panamanian white-faced capuchin) is the source of this 4582-nucleotide long non-coding RNA. RefSeq lists it as uncharacterized. The record is from RefSeq and is a predicted model, not a curated record. The transcript has 2 exons. Lineage: Eukaryota; Metazoa; Chordata; Mammalia; Primates; Cebidae.
AGGAACAGGAAAACCGGAAGGGCCUGAUGGCCACCAUCUGUGCAGGUCCUACUGCUCUGUUGGCUCAUGUAAUAGGUUUUGGAAGUAAAGUUACAACACAUCCACUUGCUAAAGACAAAAUGAUGAAUGGAGGUCAUUACACCUACUCUGAGAAUCGGGUGGAAAAGGACGGCCUGAUUCUUACAAGCCGUGGGUGGGCCUGGGACCAGCUUUGAGUUCGCGCUUGCAAUUGUUGAAGCCCUGAACGGCAAGGAGGUGGCGGCUCAAGUGAAGGCUCCACUUGUUCUUAAAGACUAGAGUAGCAAAAUGUGACAAUCACCUAGAGAAACAGGCCUUAGGAAUCUAUUCUCACUGUGUUUGCUCUGAACAAAACAAUGGUAGGUUAGUGUGUUCCUAAGCUGCCCUCAUUACUGCUUUUGUGAGGUAUAGUUGUGAAGACAGAACUACACAGAGAUCUUCCAACCUACAAAUUGUGUCUAUACAUUUCUAAGCCUUGUUUGCAGAAUAAACAGGGCAUUUAGCAAACUAAAAACAAAAAACAAAAACAAAAAAACUUGGCUGUACCCACAUGGUAGUGGUACAUGCCUAUAGUUCAAGCUACUGGGGAGGCUGAGACACGAGAAUUGCUUGAACUCAGGAGGAAGAGGUUGCAAUGAGUUGUGAUGGUGCCACUGCACUCCAGCCUUGGCAACAGAAUGAAUGAGUGUGUGUGUGUGUGUGUGUGUAUUUACUAUCAGGUGGAACUGGAUUAUCAUAAAGGUCUCAGUCCUCGCUGCCUUCAUGAGUAGCUGAGAAGGAGAAGGAUCUUGCUGCUACAAGGGUGGUAGGUGGACCCUGUUCAAAUUUGAUAUUCAAGAGUCAACUGUUUUUAAAGUCAAGGGAAGGCAUACCAAUAGUUGUAAUUUCCUAGUACUGCAAAACAAAAGCUCUAAAACUUAAUGGCUUAAAACAAGCAAAAUUUAUUUUGCUGACUGGGCUUAGUUUGUUGCCAUCAUUUUCCACAAUGACCAAAAACAUUAAAUGCCUCUUUUAGGGAGAAAAACACAGACUUUUCCCAUCAUAUUGGAAUCUUUUACUUGAAUUAUAUCUGGACAAUUGAGAUUUCCAGAUAAAUACAUAAUAUUUAUCUGGAAUCACUCACUCAGACAAAAAUGUUAAGCUAGUAAAGGAACCUCAAGUGGUAUGUAUAAAAUGACCAUGAAGUACACAUGUGUUUUCAAAAGUUGGGUAUAAUAUAACUAGACUGAGGGGUUUAAAGAAAAACUUCAUUGCUGUUCCAUGUGUAUUUUUAAACUAGUGAGAUUUCAGUUUACAGCAUUAGCAAUUUUGGGAGAACUAAAUGCUCAUUUAAUUAAAUGAAUACUAAAAAUAAUGCCUUAUUUAAUCAUACUUGAUUGGGGAUGUUAAUCCCCUUUUUAUGCAUAAGGUUAGAAGUAACUUUAAGAAGAACACAGUUGAUUUGUGUUGGAACCAGCAUUUGGAUGGGCCUACACUUGGCACUGCCUGUAGAUUUUUCUAUCAUGCAACUAGUGGUUGAAUAAGCAGGUUCUUUAGAGCUUUCAGAAUAUUAAAUAUUUUAGAGAACAGAGUUAAUCUAGACUUCAUUUUAAGCAACAUUCAGCUAUUCUUUGCCUUCCCUCUCCCCUGCCCUGAAGAGUUUGUAUUUAUUAUAAUGUAUAACACAGCCCCAAUACAAUGUGGCCUAUAUAGAUUUUUCUCUUAGGCUUAGACAUAGACUCUGAGACCAUUAUGGGAGCUUCAUGGUUCUCAAGCAGACUUUCAUUCUACUUUUUCUCUUUGGCAAGUUGCUUUAUUAUCAAGUGGAUGUUGGGCGCCAUACAUCAUGUCCAGGUUCAAGGUACAGGAUGAGCUGAAGGAGGCUAAAGGCUACUGGCAUCCAGCCUCUCUUGUAAAAAGAAGAACCUAUGGUUUAUGCUCACAGUGUCAAAAGCAGGUAGUAAAUCAAGUAGAGCUGGGCGUGAAAUGCCAAGGGAGGUUAGGAUGACAGCCACAUUGGUCACAUAAUGUUGAUAUAAGUUGAUUUAGAAAAGGAUUAUUUGAUCAAGGAUAUCCUGGAACAUAAUGGAAGUAACUGCAUUUCAGAAAUAAGUGAACAGGGCUGAGAAAAGUAAUUUUCUUUCAGUAUAGUUCAAAAAAGGAUUAAUUAUGAUUGGAGUCCUACUUUGCCCAAGGCUUUUUAUUUCAUUUUGCAUGAUAAUCUUUCUCAGAAGCAUGCAUGCAUAAAUGAGGUUGAGACAGUGACUUAAAGUUGUAAAUGAAAUAUCAUCAGAAACAAGCUAUUAUGUGUUUUCUGGUUUCUGACCUGUGUAAGGGAUGCUCAAUGUUACUCAACAGUGAUUUACUUAAAUCAGGUAGUUAUAAACUGUGGUGGUGGUGGUGGGGUUCUAAUGGGAUCUGCCUUUUCUGGUAGGUUUAGUGGCAACAUACAAGCUUGCCAUAAACAUUUCCUGGGUUUUUUAUAAAAAAGUGUUCCUCCACCUUUCUGAGUCUCGCUCCCUCACAGAAUUCUUUUAUUCCCUUUAUUCUUAGAUCCGUCUUUAGUUACCUUUUCUGUAAUGAAACCACUACCCUCUCUGAAGCCUGAGUUCCUCUUCUAAAGUAACACCACUACCACCUUUUUUCUUUAUUAUCAUGUUUUUUGGGGAAAUUGUCUACACUCACUGCUACAUGUCCUCUAUCAUCUAAUGAAGGUAUUUGUCCAUUACUGGAUUUUGGUUUUUUUUUUCUUAGAGAUCAGUAGUAAUCAAAUUGAACAGCCUGUGCCCUCUCAGGAUGUGUGUUCUGUGGUAGUGGAAAAAUGACAGCAAAAGAGGGAAAUAACUUGUGGAAUCUAGUCCCAUAAAUGGAGGUAGCUGCCCAAGUGACUGUCAAUCAGAUAUUUGAGUUGCACACAACAGGUGCAUUUACCUGGUUUCAGAAUUGAAGCAGACUUAGGAAAGGUUGUAGGUGUUCUUGGGCUGUUAAUGGGGGACAGGAUUGAUUGCUGUUCAGACAGAGCAAUGUUUCCACUGUUAGUUACUGGGGUAUCCUGUUACCCCAAAGACCCAGAGCCAGAAUAUAAACACUUUGAGUGAUUGCAGUUUUGUGACAACAUAAUACUGGUUCUGUCAUCCUCCUUCAUUGGAUUACCUUCCUCUCUGCUGCUUUCUAAUCCAUGUUUUGAGUUUAGGGCAAAAAUGAGAGCUGAACUGCUACAUUUAAUCCAGUUCUGUAUUUUCAUUUGUCAUUUCAAAGCUAGUAUUAUCGUAACAAGUGUACAAAUCAUCAGACUCCCUGGUUACUUGUUAAUGACAUUCAGUAAGAUAGCCUGCUUGCCCCAUUUUGGAUAAUACCAAUUUCCAGACAAAACGUUAGUCAUCUCCCCUCAGUUUAAGUGCUGUCAAUCAGCUCUCCAUUAGGUAAAAUGGUGAAAACACGCAUCCAGGAUCUUAGAUAUUUAGUGAAGUAGACAUAUUAAAAUCUGAUAACUGCUCAUCAGAAUUUGAAGUGAUUAGGAAGGAAUUAGGAAAUCUAAGAGGUGGGAUUUAAUUUGGGCUUUGAAGAAUGAAAGGUUACAGAGGAUUUGGGAAAGUAAAUUGGAGGCAGCGAGGACAAGUAGAUGUAUGACUGGCACUCGCUCAAGGUUGCGUGGAAGGAGAGUCAAAAUAAGGCAAGUAGGACCCAUUUUGUGGAGGACUUGCCAUGCAAGUGUAAGAAAUUGGAAUGAUAACGUACACUGGAAGGCGAAUAGAAGUUUUCUGUCACGUUAUAGGAGUAGAACUGAAGGCUGUGUAUAUGAUAGUAUGGAUCAGGUGGUUGGACCACCCAAGAGCUUAUAUGAGAGGAAUGAGAACUGAAUUAGGCUGCUGACAGAACAGAAAGGAUGGAGUCACAAGUAGGUUGUACUGCAGUUUAAAAAACCAGCACUAAGCACUCUUAUUAAAGCACUUCCUUUAAGCUGUUACACAGAUUGAUCACUAGGAGGCAUCAGUUUAUCAACUAGUAAGGUGAAAAGGAAGGCAGCUGGACACUUAACCUAAUAUAAUAAGUCUGGAGAGUUCCGUGUUAAUAUUUAACAUUUUCAACUCAAGGCCUUUUGGAAACUAGUAUCUAUGAAAUAUUUCUUCUGAAUAGUACUUCUAAAUGACAAGGAAGUCUAAACUGCACUCUGUGGGACUAUUUGGUUAUCUUUAUACACUGAUGAGGGUAAAGUGACAUGCUCAUAAUUUACUGGCUUUUAACUAUUUCUUGAAAGAUGUUUGACCUUUGGUUUAUCCAAAUCUUUAAUAAUGACUGUUGUCAUUAGUUUCUACUGUAUGUUGCAAAUUAGUUUACAGAUCAGGAUUUUGUAAUCAUUACAUAUUAAACACUUAAUAACUUUCCAAGUUCUCUUACAUGUCUUUAAGCCAGUAUUGAUUAAUGGACUGUUAAUCAAGUGUUUGACUAUGUAACUGCCAAGUAAGAAACUUACCAACUCAGUUCCAUUGUUGUGGUUCUUCUGCUUCGAAAUACUUUUACUAGAAAACAGUAAGAUGCUAGUUUAUACAAAUACUUUUCACAAUAUUAAAUUGCAUGUUGCUUG